CGAAUCUUAAGAGACCCCAGGA
RNAcentral lists this microRNA (22 nucleotides) under Octopus vulgaris (common octopus). RNAcentral describes it as "Ovu-Mir-12558_3p (mature (co-guide))". The record is from RNAcentral. RNAcentral also lists the same sequence under 1 other name. Lineage: Eukaryota; Metazoa; Mollusca; Cephalopoda; Octopoda; Octopodidae.